GUUGGCCUCAAGCGCCUGAAGCGGACGCGCCGGAAAUGCCAGUCCCGAUUCCUGGGUGACCACGGAUGUACUGGCACUGAAAGAAUCGGGAAUCAGAAAGGUCGGGCCAGCCCGACCUUUUUUGUG
Molecule: small RNA, 126 nt
Filed under: Pseudorhizobium banfieldiae
Lineage: Bacteria; Pseudomonadati; Pseudomonadota; Alphaproteobacteria; Hyphomicrobiales; Rhizobiaceae
Description: Rhizobium sp. NT-26 Alphaproteobacterial sRNA ar35
Rfam family: Alphaproteobacterial sRNA ar35
Source: Rfam by way of RNAcentral